CUUAGCAUUACAUAUGGUGACACAUACCCUAUAAAGGUGCUCAGAUGAGCAAAAGCUAUUUCCUUAUUGAAUGUGUGAUGAUUCAGAAGGUCUUUUGCAAUAACACGGAAGAGUACUUCAAAUUAUAUGGUUGCAUUUCAAGCGCUAUGUGAAGAAAACACUAAGUACUAGAAGUACUACACAAAGAUCAUGUAGAGGAAGAUUGUUGAGUAAGGUCGAGCCUACCUUAUUUCGCCUAUAGAAGAUGUUUAAGGAUUUCAUUAAACUAGGAGGCAGACUCCAAGUUUGAGAAGCUCUAGAAUAUUCUCAAGGACAUGUUCAAGAUGUUAAGAAGAAAGUGGUGAUUUUAGACCAAAUAUACCUUUUGCAGCCAAUGAACAAGAGUUGCCAAGUUCGGAAAAGUAUUUCCGAGUGACUGAGAAGUAGUUGUGUCGGACCUGGCCAGUCCACAUGACCAAAAUAUCAGUAGUCGUCAUAUAUGGGUCUCUAAACCUAUAUAUUUAAACUUUCAUCUGAAAAGCCAAGCGGGUUCAGAUUAUUAGGUCAUUUCAUUUCGACCUUUUAGUCAAUUCAUUUCUACCCUAAGGCCAUUUCUUUUCAAUCGUCUGACAAAAUUGUUGAUUCACUUCACUCUGCGUAAUUGCCAUUUGUGACUUUAAUCAUUGUGGUUUGUUAGUUGUUAGUAGAUUUCCGGUGACCUAAAGACAAACAAGUAUUCACCAGAUUAAAUCCAUCAAACAAGUAUGCCUCGACCCAAGGGUCAAUCACAUGAUGCGGCUAGACCAUCUCUUAUGGAUUUGGUAGAACGUUAUUAUUUUUUUAGAAAACAAUGAUUGUUCUGAUGUUUUUGUAUACCCUAUGUUGGCUUAGUUAUGUUUGACUAGUAUUAGUACGAAAAAAAAAAAAAAACUUGGUUCCAUGACCAAAUUAGUUGGUGAUGGCAUUGCUAGACAGCCAGUUCAUCAUGAGUAGUACUUGGAUAGAUCAAUACAUCUAGAUCCAUAUGUUAAUGUAGAAGUUCUCAUCGAAACAAUUUUCUUAUGUCUUUUUAGCGACCUUAUCGAUCUUUUGCGGCAAGUCAAUUCCGCCACAUUUUACUUAUAUGCUUG
Molecule: long non-coding RNA, 1109 nt
Filed under: Salvia miltiorrhiza (redroot sage)
Lineage: Eukaryota; Viridiplantae; Streptophyta; Magnoliopsida; Lamiales; Lamiaceae
Description: long non-coding RNA (SMIL_LNC014237)
Source: RNAcentral